UACGCUGGCGGCACGCCUAACACAUGCAAGUCGAACGAAGUAGCAAUACUUAGUGGCAGACGGGUGAGUAACAUGUAGGUAUCUGCCCUUUGGCCUGGAAUAACACGAGGAAACUUGUGCUAAUACCGGAUAAGUCUUUACGGAGAAAGCUUUAUGCACCAUUGGAUGAGCCUGCACUUGAUUAGUUUGUUGGUGGGGUAAUGGCCUACCAAGACUGUGAUCAAUAGCUGAUUUGAGAGGAUGAUCAGCCACAUUGGGACUGAGACACGGCCCAAACUCCUACGGGAGGCAGCAGUGGGGAAUCUUGCACAAUGGAGGAAACUCUGAUGCAGCGAUGCCGCGUGAGUGAAGAAGGCCUUUGGGUUGUAAAGCUCUUUCGUCGGGGAAGAAAAUGACUGUACCCGAAUAAGAAGGUCCGGCUAA
Molecule: ribosomal RNA, 423 nt
Filed under: uncultured bacterium
Lineage: Bacteria
Description: bacterial SSU rRNA
Rfam family: Bacterial small subunit ribosomal RNA
Source: RNAcentral